CCUACGGGAGGCAGCAGUGGGGAAUAUUGCACAAUGGGCGAAAGCCUGAUGCAGCAACGCCGCGUGAAGGAAGAAGGGUUUCGGCUCGUAAACUUCUAUCAACAUGGACGAAAGAAAUGCCGGUACCUGAAUACGAAUCCCCCGCUAACUCCUUGCCAGCCGCCGCGGUAAUACGUAGGGGGCAAGCUUUAUCCGGAAUUACGGGGUGUAAUGGUUGAGUAGGCGUCAUGUUACGCCAGAUGUGAAAGCCUUGGGCUUAACCCGAGGAUUGCAUUUGGAACUAUCAAGCUAGAGUACAGGAGAGGAAAGCGGAAUUCCUAGUGUAGCGGUGAAAUGCGUAGAUAUUAGGAAGAACACCAGUGGCGAAGGCGGCUUUCUGGACUGAAACUGACGCUGAGGCACGAAAGCGUGGGGAGCGAACAGGAUUAGAUACCCCAGUAGUC
This 443-nucleotide ribosomal RNA is filed under the name uncultured bacterium. RNAcentral's name for it is "partial 16S ribosomal RNA". It matches the Rfam family "Bacterial small subunit ribosomal RNA", at positions 338 to 795 of the family's 1533-position model. The record is from RNAcentral.